UGUGUGACCUCAUAGGUUUAAACCUAAGCCGGUAGCAUAGGAAUAAAUUUUUAUACCAAUCAAAGUGACCAUCUAGCAAUGGUACCCGAUGGUCAGAUAGGUCGAAUGUGUAGAACAACAUCAUUAGAAUCUAUACAAAUAUAGUUUCCAUAUAAUUUAUCCCCUUGACCAAAAUGCUCAUAGGACACCUCAGAGUUUCACUGUCAACUCUGAUCAGGUUGUCCACAUUGUAUUUCAAAAUAUCAAAUCUAUCUGAUGGAUUAUCCUGGCC
RNAcentral lists this long non-coding RNA (271 nucleotides) under Elaeis guineensis (African oil palm). RNAcentral describes it as "long non-coding RNA (EGUI_LNC025909)". Lineage: Eukaryota; Viridiplantae; Streptophyta; Magnoliopsida; Arecales; Arecaceae. The record is from RNAcentral.